Molecule: non-coding RNA, 128 nt
Organism: Gossypium raimondii (Peruvian cotton)
Lineage: Eukaryota; Viridiplantae; Streptophyta; Magnoliopsida; Malvales; Malvaceae
Source: Rfam
UGUUAAAGAUUUUAUUUAUUUCCAUAGUUAAAAACUAGCGUGGUUGACAGAAUAAUCAUGCCAUGUGCACCUCAUUUUGGCGCAUUGAGACUAAUUUUUAACAGUAGAAAUGAAUGAAAUUUUUAACA